ACAAGUACCGUGAGGGAAAGUUGAAAAGCACUUUGAAAAGAGAGUGCAAGAGAACGUGAAACCGACAUAAUGGAAGCAGAUGGAGCUGACGUAUCUGGCACGUAUUCAGUCGUCUGCCGUUAGCAAUCGCUGGGCUUCAUUCCGCAAGGUUGAAGUCGGGUGUUGUUGUUGCGGUCAGGUGAUGCAGUUGCGUGCGGAGUGCGCCGAGUGGGUCGACUUCGCUGUUGGAAGCGGGCGUAGAGGACUUGGGCUUCGGCUCGUGAACCCUGUGCUCGUGGACAAUGGGUGAGGUUGGCUCUUUCUGGAAUUGCAGGUGUUUUCGCGAUUGACGGCUAUCGUGCGGAUGGCUUGCGUUUGGCACAUGUGUCCGAUGCUUGUUGUUCGUGCGGCGGCAGUUUGUUGCACUGCAUUCAUCCCGGUGUACAGUCGGUCACCCAUUUGACCCGUCUUGAAACACGGACCAAGGAGUUUAAGGUGUACGCAAGUCAUUGGGUAUGUAGAAACCCAAAGGCGUAAUGAAAGUGAGAUGCAUAGUGUUGACGAUGUGAACGGCGGGCGUUUCGACGUUCACCGUGCAACAUCGCCCCGUGAUGAGGACUUGUCCUGUUGCGGAGGUUGAGCGUACGCUUUGAGACCCGAAAGAUGGUGAACUAUGCCUGAACAGGAUGAAGCCAGAGGAAACUCUGGUGGAAGUCCGAAGCGGUUCUGACGUGCAAAUCGAUCGUCUGAUUUGGGUAUAGGGGCGCAAGACUAAUCGAACCAUCUAGUAGCUGGUUCCUUCCGA
Molecule: ribosomal RNA, 784 nt
Filed under: Aphelenchoides sp. AspNJDH
Lineage: Eukaryota; Metazoa; Nematoda; Chromadorea; Rhabditida; Aphelenchoididae
Description: eukaryotic LSU rRNA
Rfam family: Eukaryotic large subunit ribosomal RNA
Source: RNAcentral